This 884-nucleotide long non-coding RNA is filed under the name Mus musculus (house mouse). RNAcentral describes it as "long non-coding RNA chr7:57722441-57723325". The record is from RNAcentral. Lineage: Eukaryota; Metazoa; Chordata; Mammalia; Rodentia; Muridae.
GGACAUGACCCUGUCCUGUUUUGAAGACUCUGGGAUAAACCAUGCCUGUAUCAUAGACACCCGAUUUGCCUUUCUACCUGUGUUUUAAAUGGCACAGCACUUGAUUUAAUAUUUUGAUAAUUUUGAUUGAACUCAUACAAAGCAUGUGUACCAUGGGUAAAUGGAUGAUGUUAGGGUUAGUUAAACGACUGAAACUUUGGGUUAUAAGAUAAAUAUGUUUUGUAGCUCCAAUGAAAACAAGAAAUAAUAGCACAUUAUAACAUAUUUGAUAACAGGGUGGAAAGCAAGUAUAUGUACGAGAGCAGCCAUGUGUGGUGAUAAAAUUAGCUGUACUGAUAUAAUAAUUUUACAGUAUGCAUGUGUGCCUUUAGUCUUUGAAAGGUUUCCUUUCAGUGACACCACUCAUCCAUUCAGGAAGAAACUACAAGCUUGUGGUUUUGGCACUGUGGUAUUUUAUAGUCUGGUAGAAGAUUUAAAAAAAAAAAAACCUACAAAAACAUUUGGCCUAGAGUGAAUAGAUGAAUGAAAUUUUAUGCUAGUCCCUUCCAUUGUUAUGUGUUUUAUGACCCAAUUAUUUUCUUUCUUUCAUAUUCAGGGAGAAGAGCUACAUUCUCUUCAAACACAAUAUUGAUAUUGAUUUGUGUAAUAGAGUUGUUUUUAUGUAGUUUACCUUUCCUCUCAGAAAAUGUUCGCCUGUUAGGGCUUUGAGCAUCCGUUGAGCUUUAAGGAGAUAUGAGUAUUUCUUACCUAUCCUCUACUUCCACCACAGGACAUAGAAACUCUGGCCAAGGAGCACCCCAAAGUUUAGGUUCCUGAUAUCACCUGGUGUUCCUACUGUCCAGGGGCCAGGCAAAAUUCACAGUACUGUAUGAACAUUGUGCUCU